RNAcentral lists this ribosomal RNA (565 nucleotides) under uncultured bacterium. Its description in RNAcentral is "partial 16S ribosomal RNA". It matches the Rfam family "Bacterial small subunit ribosomal RNA", at positions 355 to 913 of the family's 1533-position model. The record is from RNAcentral.
UGGGGAAUUUUGGACAAUGGGCGAAAGCCUGAUCCAGCAAUGCCGCGUGUGUGAAGAAGGCCUUCGGGUUGUAAAGCACUUUUGUCCGGAAAGAAAUCCUUGGCUCUAAUACAGUCGGGGGAUGACGGUACCGGAAGAAUAAGCACCGGCUAACUACGUGCCAGCAGCCGCGGUAAUACGUAGGGUGCAAGCGUUAAUCGGAAUUACUGGGCGUAAAGCGUGCGCAGGCGGUUUGCUAAGACCGAUGUGAAAUCCCCGGGCUAACCUGGGAACUGCAUUGGUGACUGGCAGGCUAGAGUAUGGCAGAGGGGGGUAGAAUUCCACGUGUAGCAGUGAAAUGCGUAGAGAUGUGGAGGAAUACCGAUGGCGAAGGCAGCCCCCUGGGCCAAUACUGACGCUCAUGCACGAAAAGCGUGGGGAGCAAACAGGAUUAGAUACCCUGGUAGUCCACGCCCUAAACGAUGUCAACUAGUUGUUGGGGAUUCAUUUCCUUAGUAACGUAGCUAACGCGUGAAGUUGACCGCCUGGGGAGUACGGUCGCAAGAUUAAAACUUAAAGGAAUUGA